This 619-nucleotide long non-coding RNA is filed under the name Cyanistes caeruleus (blue tit). RNAcentral describes it as "lncRNA (ENSCCEG00000014128.1)". The record is from RNAcentral. Lineage: Eukaryota; Metazoa; Chordata; Aves; Passeriformes; Paridae.
AUUUUGGGUAAACUCUUCUCCUUAUUUUUUGUAUAUUUCCAUGUUUAUACCAUAACUAGCCAGUUGACUAAUACAUACACUAAUGUUUAGAUGAUAAGGAAUGGUAGCAUUCUGUAUUAUCCUUGUUAAAUAUGGAGCAGAACAUAAACAAGGCCCUUAACACUGUUGGCUGCUACUUCUGUAAGAGUAAUGUGUUGUAUACAGAAAUGUAACAGUAAUCUGUCUGUAAUAUGUCUCCAGUCUCCUCGCAUAGUCUCCAGCGGCAGAGAUUGACCCAUAAAUACUAGAUUUACUUCCUCUGGGGUUAUUGAAGAAAGUAAAGCAAAGAUUAUAUUCAGUAAGCAGAAGCUGGCAAUGACCUAGACCAUUUGCAGAUUUCAAGGUGAAACAAGUCAAGUCAUCAUCUUUUCUGUGAUGUUCCCUUUGAGUUGACUGAUACAGUGUACUUACUUCAGGAGCUUACUGGAAGUUUUCAGUCUGAAAAGGUGACCUGGAAUAACAUAUAUACAAACCAGCAUACCAAGACUAUCCGAGCUGUUGUAAUCUCCAGCUAGCUAAAAAGUGCCAAACCACUAAGUUUUCAACAGAAGUUUCUAAAAUAAAUUUAUAAUCUCAAACU